GAAAGCAAAUCAGUCUGUUUUCUUUGAAGUCAAGCUAUUUAUCAGGUUUAGAUAUAAUUUACAAUUCCGACGACUCGCUUAAAAAAACAAAUUAGUGCAUAAACUGUAGAUGUUAAAGCCCAAUUAGAGGCAGGCAAAAACAAAGACGACCUCAAGAGAAAUGCAAUGAAGUCACUUUCCAAACACUAUCAAUGUAAAUAAUUGGCUCUUCUCUUCUUUUCAGGCCCAGUUAAAAACAAACUGUUUGUUCUUAAGUGGACCCGACGUUUAAAUUGGUGUUGGAAGCCACUACAAUCAUGUCAUCAUGAAGAGAUGCGCCCACCCGUCUGAAAAGUGAAUAAAAAAAAAAAAAUCACCAUUCAAGGAUGGCACAAAACCACUCAACCAACAAAAAAACACAAGAUCAGGUAUGUUCAUCCUUCAUAUGCUUACUUGGAACAGAACAUACUUGGGCAUUGAGCCGCAUGCUGCUUCACUCCUGUUACAUCUUGCACAGUCUAAAAAGUUCAUUUGUGUUUCUAAAAUUGCUUUAUGACGAAUCCAACAAGUAUGAACACUUGCCGCCAUUUGCAAACAGGCCUCAUGUAUCUGCAUGGACAGCCAGCCGCUAGAGGUGAUUAAAGCGCAGAUGUGUGAAUUAUGAAACAUCAAGCAA
This is a long non-coding RNA of Syngnathus acus (greater pipefish), 655 nucleotides long. RefSeq lists it as uncharacterized. The record is from RefSeq and is a predicted model, not a curated record. The transcript has 2 exons. NCBI's taxonomy places the organism in Eukaryota, Metazoa, Chordata, Actinopteri, Syngnathiformes, Syngnathidae.